This 700-nucleotide ribosomal RNA is filed under the name uncultured Methylibium sp. Its description in RNAcentral is "bacterial SSU rRNA". It matches the Rfam family "Bacterial small subunit ribosomal RNA", at positions 64 to 759 of the family's 1533-position model. Lineage: Bacteria; Pseudomonadati; Pseudomonadota; Betaproteobacteria; Burkholderiales; Sphaerotilaceae. The record is from RNAcentral.
GAACGGCAGCACGGGAGCAAUCCUGGUGGCGAGUGGCGAACGGGUGAGUAAUACAUCGGAACGUGCCCAGUAAUGGGGGAUAGCCCGGCGAAAGCCGGAUUAAUACCGCAUACGACCUACGGGUGAAAGUGGGGGAUCGCAAGACCUCACGUUAUUGGAGCGGCCGAUGUCAGAUUAGGUUGUUGGUGGGGUAACAGCCCACCAAGCCGACGAUCUGUAGCUGGUCUGAGAGGACGACCAGCCACACUGGGACUGAGACACGGCCCAGACUCCUACGGGAGGCAGCAGUGGGGAAUUUUGGACAAUGGGCGCAAGCCUGAUCCAGCCAUGCCGCGUGCGGGAAGAAGGCCUUCGGGUUGUAAACCGCUUUUGUCAGGGAAGAAACGGUCUGCACUAAUACUGCGGAUUAAUGACGGUACCUGAAGAAUAAGCACCGGCUAACUACGUGCCAGCAGCCGCGGUAAUACGUAGGGUGCAAGCGUUAAUCGGAAUUACUGGGCGUAAAGCGUGCGCAGGCGGCUUUGCAAGACAGAUGUGAAAUCCCCGGGCUUAACCUGGGAACUGCAUUUGUGACUGCAAGGCUGGAGUGCGGCAGAGGGGGAUGGAAUUCCGCGUGUAGCAGUGAAAUGCGUAGAUAUGCGGAGGAACACCGAUGGCGAAGGCAAUCCCCUGGGCCUGCACUGACGCUCAUGCACGAAAG